RNAcentral lists this ribosomal RNA (1428 nucleotides) under Arthrobacter sp. G11. RNAcentral describes it as "bacterial SSU rRNA". It matches the Rfam family "Bacterial small subunit ribosomal RNA". Lineage: Bacteria; Bacillati; Actinomycetota; Actinomycetes; Micrococcales; Micrococcaceae. The record is from RNAcentral.
GGCGAAGGGACACAUAACCGUGAUCGUCGCUCGAUGAUCCGGUGCUUGCACCGGGGAUUAGUGGCGAACGGGUGAGUAACACGUGAGUAACCUGCCCUUAACUCUGGGAUAAGCCUGGGAAACUGGGUCUAAUACCGGAUAUGACUGAUCAUCGCAUGGUGGUUGGUGGAAAGCUUUUUGUGGUUUUGGAUGGACUCGCGGCCUAUCAGCUUGUUGGUGAGGUAAUGGCUUACCAAGGCGACGACGGGUAGCCGGCCUGAGAGGGUGACCGGCCACACUGGGACUGAGACACGGCCCAGACUCCUACGGGAGGCAGCAGUGGGGAAUAUUGCACAAUGGGCGCAAGCCUGAUGCAGCGACGCCGCGUGAGGGAUGACGGCCUUCGGGUUGUAAACCUCUUUCAGUAGGGAAGAAGCGAAAGUGACGGUACCUGCAGAAGAAGCGCCGGCUAACUACGUGCCAGCAGCCGCGGUAAUACGUAGGGCGCAAGCGUUAUCCGGAAUUAUUGGGCGUAAAGAGCUCGUAGGCGGUUUGUCGCGUCUGCCGUGAAAGUCCGGGGCUCAACUCCGGAUCUGCGGUGGGUACGGGCAGACUAGAGUGAUGUAGGGGAGACUGGAAUUCCUGGUGUAGCGGUGAAAUGCGCAGAUAUCAGGAGGAACACCGAUGGCGAAGGCAGGUCUCUGGGCAUUAACUGACGCUGAGGAGCGAAAGCAUGGGGAGCGAACAGGAUUAGAUACCCUGGUAGUCCAUGCCGUAAACGUUGGGCACUAGGUGUGGGGGACAUUCCACGUUUUCCGCGCCGUAGCUAACGCAUUAAGUGCCCCGCCUGGGGAGUACGGCCGCAAGGCUAAAACUCAAAGGAAUUGACGGGGGCCCGCACAAGCGGCGGAGCAUGCGGAUUAAUUCGAUGCAACGCGAAGAACCUUACCAAGGCUUGACAUGAACCGGAAAGACCUGGAAACAGGUGCCCCGCUUGCGGUCGGUUUACAGGUGGUGCAUGGUUGUCGUCAGCUCGUGUCGUGAGAUGUUGGGUUAAGUCCCGCAACGAGCGCAACCCUCGUUCUAUGUUGCCAGCACGUGAUGGUGGGGACUCAUAGGAGACUGCCGGGGUCAACUCGGAGGAAGGUGGGGACGACGUCAAAUCAUCAUGCCCCUUAUGUCUUGGGCUUCACGCAUGCUACAAUGGCCGGUACAAAGGGUUGCGAUACUGUGAGGUGGAGCUAAUCCCAAAAAGCCGGUCUCAGUUCGGAUUGGGGUCUGCAACUCGACCCCAUGAAGUCGGAGUCGCUAGUAAUCGCAGAUCAGCAACGCUGCGGUGAAUACGUUCCCGGGCCUUGUACACACCGCCCGUCAAGUCACGAAAGUUGGUAACACCUCGAAGCCGGUGGCCUAACCCCUAGUGGGAGGGAGCUGUCUAUAGAUGUCUCG